CCCUGAAUGCACGAGAAGAGCACUGGUCAUAAUGAUUCCUGUGAGUCUUUCCUUGGCAGUAUUAUGCAUAUUGAAUAUUUGGACAAUAGAAUACGCUGCAGGCUGUGGGGAACAGUAUGAGAAAGAUGGGCGAUGCUGUGACCAGUGUGCCCCAGGUCAAUAUAUGAAGGACUUUUGCAAAGAGAACCAGCAAACAAUCUGUAGUCCCUGUGAAGAGGGCACCUACUCUCAACAAUUUAACCUGUUUGACAGAUGUGAGAAAUGCCGGUCAUGCCAACAUAAAUACAAUGAGAAAUGCACGGCGACCACAAAUACAAAUUGUUCGUGCAACUAUGGUUUCCUGUGCUCCAACAAUGUCUGUUCAGAGUGUGAGGAAAACAAAUGCGUCACAGGGGAAACACUGAAGAGAACAGAUAAUCAUCCUAUGGAAGUCCUAGCAGUCUCCACCAACGCCAGUGACUUUCAUCUGUCGAAGGAGGAGAGUGGGCGUGAGCUCAUCAUGCAGGAUGAAUCCAAGAACAGCAACAGUAUUGGCCUACUGCAUCUGGAGGAAGUCGGCACUUGUUGAUAACAAGUCUAAGAGGAGACAAUCAGUCUGUUUACUAUAAUGAUAUUAAUGUAAUGGUACAAAGUAUCUUCCUCGUUAUCAGCACACAUUUAAAUAUACAAACCUGCUAAAGUUAGAGAUGCACACUUCUGAAGGAAAGGUCCCUGGUUGUCUGACCAACAUGUGAAGGUAUGAUGAGAAAGGUUUGAAACCAUGGUCCAAUUAUGUGAUGAGUCCUACUUUCAGCUUUUUUUUAGAGUGAAUUGUUCUUCUUUUUGCCUGAUUUGGUUAAACAUCGGUUUUAUAUUCUAAUGUGAAUAUUGCAAAAAUACUUGCAAUAAAGCAAAGUAUUAUACAGGGUGUAUUAUACUGUUAAGUGUAUUACCAACUAAUCUAUCAUUGUAAUAAACUGUUGCAUCUAAACCCAAAAACAAAAAACAAAAAACAAACACACAUGAUUAUACAAGACCAUGUACAACAAAGGAUAUGACAUACAAGAGCCAAGACCUGUUGUUUGUGCUCACAGAUUAUAGUCCCAGUAUUAAAGUUAUUCUUCCCCCCUGUGUUUUUGUUUGUUUUGUUAUGUAUGCAUGUAUUUAUGCUGGGACAGCAGCAUAAGAAAGGUGU
Molecule: long non-coding RNA, 1174 nt
Filed under: Cottoperca gobio
Lineage: Eukaryota; Metazoa; Chordata; Actinopteri; Perciformes; Bovichtidae
Description: lncRNA (ENSCGOG00000001401.1)
Source: RNAcentral